Molecule: ribosomal RNA, 244 nt
Filed under: uncultured bacterium
Lineage: Bacteria
Description: partial 16S ribosomal RNA
Rfam family: Bacterial small subunit ribosomal RNA
Source: RNAcentral
UACGAAGGGGGCUAGCGUUGCUCGGAAUCACUGGGCGUAAAGCGCACGUAGGCGGCUUUUUAAGUCAGAGGUGAAAUCCUGGAGCUCAACUCCCAGAACUGCCUUUGAUACUGGGAGAGCUUGAGUCCGGGAGAGGUGAGUGGAACUGCGAGUGUAGAGGUGAAAUUCGUAGAUAUUCGCAAGAACACCAGUGGCGAAGGCGGCUCACUGGCCCGGUACUGACGCUGAGGUGCGAAAGCGUGGG